This 528-nucleotide ribosomal RNA is filed under the name Staphylococcus sp. EIB 7-2. RNAcentral describes it as "partial 16S ribosomal RNA". It matches the Rfam family "Bacterial small subunit ribosomal RNA", at positions 32 to 537 of the family's 1533-position model. Lineage: Bacteria; Bacillati; Bacillota; Bacilli; Caryophanales; Staphylococcaceae. The record is from RNAcentral.
ANCGCUGGCGGCGUGCCUAAUACAUGCAAGUCGAGCGANCAAACUANGAGCUUNCUNCUUUGACGUUAGCNGNGGNCGGGUGANUNACACGUNNAUAACCUACCUAUNANACUGGGAUAACUUCGGGAAACCGGAGCUAAUUCCGGUUAAUAUNUUGAACCGCAUGGCUCAAUAAUGAAAGACGGGUUNGCUGUACUUAUAGAUGGNUUCGCCCCGCAUUAGCUGGUUGGGAAGGUNACGGCUUACCAACGGCAACCNUGCUUAGCCGGCCUGAGAGGGUGAUCGGCCACACUGGAACUGAGACACGGUCCAGACUCCUACGGGAGGCAAUAGUNGGGAAUCUUCCNCAAUGGGCGAAAGCCUGACCGGAGCAACUGCCNGAGUGAGUGAUGAAGGUCUUCGGAUCGUAAAACUCUGGUAUUAUGGGAAGAACAAAUGUGUGAAGUAACUAUGCACGUCUUGACGGUACCUAAUCAGAAAGCCACGGNUAACUACGUUCCACCAANUCGCUGGAUACCUAGGUGGCAA